UUCCGGAGGUCCGUUCUUAACCUGAAACUGUUCUUAACCUGAAGCACCACUUUAGCUAAUGGGGCCUCCUGCCGCCGCGCGAUUUCUGUUCUCAUCCUGAGGUAAAGUUCUUAACCCGAUGUACUAUUUCUGGGUUAGCGGAGUCUGUAACCUGAAGCGUAUGUAACCUGAAGUGCAUGUAACCCGAGGUACCACUGUAAACCCAUGUACAAACCAUUAAGUUUUAAAAUGGAGAGCUAGAAACACACACACACCCCUUGAACUGAACGAAGCAAGUUAAUCUGCCAGAGUUCCAUCAGGGGGAAAGGUGGGGUGUAAAUAAAUGUAUAAAAAUAAUCCAAAGUUCAGCAGUUAAUUUAAAAAACAACAACCCCAGAUGAAAAUGGAAAUUGUUUCUUGUAUUUUUUAAUUAUUUAUUGAUUGUGGGGGUGCCUGAGCAGUAUACAGUUGGCAUAAAUAAAAGUUUAGCAUCACAUUAAAAUAUAUCUUAUCUAUCUAUCUUUCAGUGAUGGGGAACUUGUUGGACUCCAGCUUCCAUCAUUCCUGAUCAUUGGCUACACUAUUUGGGGCUUAUGGGAGCUGAAGUCCAACAACAUCUGGAGGGCCAUGGGUUCCCCACCCCUGAUUUAUAGUGUUUUUCCUAAGUGUUUCAGGUCACUUUGCAUAUAUUGUCUUGACAGUUCUCACCGAAAAAGUGUGAGGUAGAAUGGUGUUGUUGUUAAACUCUACUGCAGACAGUAGCUUGAAGCUGAGGAGAGCAGCACCAGCCUAAUUCUGUAGCAUGUCCUACUUUCUUCAUCAGACUUCUGCCUUCUGUAUACAGGUUUAUCGCCCAAAGAACAUUACUUUUUUUUUAACUUGUUCAGAUAUGUGUCAAAAUGGAUCAUUAAUAAGACUUGAUCUAUUUAACAAGUACCUUUUCACUAGGGAAAUGUGUCAUGGUGAACAAUUAUUGCAUGUCCUAAUAACUGAUCUCAAAACAGUGUGCAGGCUUGUUUAUUUAUUUACAAUAGCUUCUAAAAGGUUUUUAAAAACCUCUAGCAAAUGUUAAUACUCAAAAAUUACAAGGUUGCUGCCUUAGAGAGCUUAUCAUUGUGGGGGGAAUGGACAGCUCAUUUUUGCAACUGCUAUGUAUCAGAUCUUUCUGUACUUCAAACAGAUAAAUCCCCAUUAUAUAAAUGAAUUUUUAAAAAUGCUUUCCACAUGUUCUCUCUGACAUUUGAUGGCUUGCUUAGAAAGUUACUUAUCCUAACAUCCCAUUCCCAUGCUUCAAUUAUUCAACCACUGGCUUCUUUAAAACUUUUAAACUCAUUACAACACGGUGAAGAAGUUAACAGAAGUUAAGAGUACAGAUACUGUAUUUACUUGAGUCUAAUGCACCAUCUAAUCUAAUGCACACCUCAGUUUUCAGAACCUUGAAACCAAAAUAGUAUUUGCUGGUGAAUGUAAAUGUGCUAUCGAAUCUAAUGCGCACCUUAAUUUUUGCAACCAAAAAAGGUGAGCGUUAGAUUUGAGUAAAUACUGUAUGGUAAUUCAAUAUGCAUCAUUUUCUCAGUUCAUCUCCUAGUGUAAAACUGAGGUGACAACGAUGGUGUGUGAUGCCAAAUGAGACUGGGAGUGGGAGCUUUUAAAAAAAGCAACUCAAAGUAACAACUUCACUAGAAAUUGAAACUAGAGGUGGCCUUCCUAGAGCAGCCUCAGGCCUAAUUUGUGCAGAUAGACUCUGGUGAAGAAGAGAAAAGGGGUGUGUGGGCAGGGAGGAGUGGGAGAGGGGAAAUGGGGUGGCAGAGAGAGAGAGAUAGCCCCACUCAAAGACAACCCCAAGGCAAUCCAUGUUUUGACUGGAAAAUAAUUCCCCAUAUGUAAUUUAAUAUGUAUGGUGAGAAUCUGCCCCAAGAAUGCAUGCAGCUGUUGUGACUGGCAGUGGAAGUUGUCUUUUAGUGGUUUUUGAUACAGCUCUGUGCAUGCAGGAUGCCCUAUUUUAUUUA
This 1988-nucleotide long non-coding RNA is filed under the name Podarcis lilfordi (Lilford's wall lizard). Lineage: Eukaryota; Metazoa; Chordata; Lepidosauria; Squamata; Lacertidae. The record is from RNAcentral.